UACUCGAGUGGCGAACGGGUGAGUAACACGUGGGUUAUCUGCCCUGCACUUCGGGAUAAGCUUGGGAAACUGGGUCUAAUACCGGAUAGGAGCCAUCUUUAGUGUGGUGGUUGGAAAGUUUUUUCGGUGUAGGAUGAGCUCGCGGCCUAUCAGCUUGUUGGUGGGGUAAUGGCCUACCAAGGCGGCGACGGGUAGCCGGCCUGAGAGGGUGUACGGCCACAUUGGGACUGAGAUACGGCCCAG
Molecule: ribosomal RNA, 243 nt
Filed under: uncultured Actinomycetales bacterium
Lineage: Bacteria; Bacillati; Actinomycetota; Actinomycetes; Actinomycetales
Description: partial 16S ribosomal RNA
Rfam family: Bacterial small subunit ribosomal RNA
Source: RNAcentral